GAUGAACGCUAGCUACAGGCUUAACACAUGCAAGUCGAGGGGUAACGAGAGGAAAGCUUGCUUUCCUUGUCGACGACCGGCGCACGGGUGAGUAACGCGUAUCCAACCUGCCCCCAACUAGGGAAUAACCUUGCGAAAGUAAGACUAAUACCCUAUAAUUUCCUCAGAUGUCAUCUGACGAGGAAUAAAGAUUUAUAGGUUGUGGAUGGGGAUGCGUCUGAUUUAGCUUGUUGGCGGGGUAACGGGCCACCCAGGCAGCGAUCAGUAGGGGUUUUGAGAGGAAGGGCCCCCACAUUGGAACUGAGACGCGGUCCAAACUCCUACGGGAUGCAGCAGUGAGGAAUAUUGGUCAAUGGGCGGAAGCCUGAACCUGCCAAGUAGCGUGCAGGAUGACGGCCCUAUGGGUUGUAAACUGCUUUUAUACAGGAAUAAAGUUAGCCACGUGUGGUUAUUUGUAGGUACUGUAUGAAUAAGGACCGGCUAAUUCCGUUCCAGCAGCCGCGGUAA
This 507-nucleotide ribosomal RNA is filed under the name uncultured bacterium. RNAcentral's name for it is "partial 16S ribosomal RNA". It matches the Rfam family "Bacterial small subunit ribosomal RNA", at positions 28 to 523 of the family's 1533-position model. The record is from RNAcentral.